GAGUGGGUGGUGAAGGCUGGUGAGUGGGUGGUGAAUGGCUGGUUAUGGGUGGUGAUUGGGUGUGAUGGGUGGUGAGAGGGUGGUGAGUGUCUGGUGAGUGGGUGGUGAGUGGGUGGUGGGUGGCUGGUGAUGGGUGGUCAGUGGGUGGUAGGAGGGUGGUGAGUGGGUGGUGCAGGCUGGUGAGUGGGUGGUCAAUGUCUGGUGAUGGGUGGUGGGUGGGUGGUGAGAGGGUGGUGAGUGGCUGGUGAGUGGGUCGUGAGUGGCUGGUGAUGGGUGGUGGGUGGGUGGUAGGAGGGUGGUGAGUGGGUGGUGAGUGGCUGGUGAGUGGGUGGCGAGUGGGUUGUGAGUGGGUGGUGAGAGGGUGGUGGUGGGUGGCUAGUGGGUGCUGAUGGGUGGUGAGUGGGGGUGAAUAGGUGGUGAAUAGGUGGUGAGUGGGUGGUGAGUGGCUGGUGAGAGGGUGGUGAGUGGCUGGUGAUUGGCUGGUGAUGGGUGGUGAGUGGGUUGUGAGAAGGUGGUGAGAGGGUGGUGAUUGGCUGCUGAGUGGCUGGUGAGUGGCUGGUGAGUGGCUGGUGAGUUGGUGGUGUGUGGCUGGUGAGGGGUGGUGAGUGGGUGGUGAGGGGGUGGUGAGGGGUGGUGGGUGGCUGGUGAGUGGGUGAUGAGUGGGUGGUGAGUGGGUGGUGAGUGGGUGGUGUGGGUGGUGUUGGCUGGUGAGAGGGUGGUGAGUGGCUGGUGAGUGGGUGGUGAAUAGGUGGUGAGUGGGUGGUGAAUAGGUGGUGAGUGGAUGGUGAAUAGGUGGUGAGUGGGUGGUGAAUACAUUUUUUUACAUUUUAUUUCACCUUUAUUUCACCAGGUAGGCUAGUGAGAACAGUUCAUCCAGAAAGAGGGCCCGUGGUGAGGGUC
This is a long non-coding RNA of Oncorhynchus tshawytscha (Chinook salmon), 900 nucleotides long. The record is from Ensembl. Lineage: Eukaryota; Metazoa; Chordata; Actinopteri; Salmoniformes; Salmonidae.